Molecule: ribosomal RNA, 497 nt
Filed under: uncultured bacterium
Lineage: Bacteria
Description: partial 16S ribosomal RNA
Rfam family: Bacterial small subunit ribosomal RNA
Source: RNAcentral
GAUGAACGCUGGCGGCAUGCCUAAUACAUGCAAGUCGAGCGAACGGACGAGAAGCUUGCUCCUCUGAUGUUAUCGGGGGACGGGAGAUUAACACGUGGUUAACCUACCUAUCAGACUGGGGUAACUUCGGGAAACCGUAGCUACUACCGGAUAAUAUUUUGAACCGCAUUGUUCACAAGUGAAAGACGCUCUUGCUGACACUUAUAGAUGGAUCCGCGCUUCAUCAGCUAGUGGGUAAGGUAACGGCUUACCAAGGCAACGAUGCAUAGCCGACCUGAGAGCGUGAUCGCACACACUGGAACAGAGACACGUUCGCGACUCCUAGGGGAGGCAGCAGUAGAGAAUCUUCCGCAAUGGGGGAAAGCCGGAUAGAGGAACGCGGCGUGAAGGAUGAAGGACUUCGGAUGGUAAAACUAUGAAGUUAGGGAAGAAGAAAUGUGUAAGUACCUGUGAAGAUAAUGACGGUACCUAAUCAAAAAGCCACGGCUAACUACGUG